UACGGGGGGAGCAAGCGUUGUUCGGAUUUACUGGGCGUAAAGGGCGCGUAGGCGGUCGUGACAAGUCACUUGUGAAAUCUCCGGGCUUAACUCGGAACGGUCAAGUGAUACUGUCGGACUAGAGUGCAGAAGGGGCAACUGGAAUUCUCGGUGUAGCGGUGAAAUGCGUAGAUAUCGAGAGGAACACCUGCGGCGAAGGCGGGUUGCUGGGCUGACACUGACGCUGAGGCGCGAAAGCUAGGGGAGCGAACGGG
Molecule: ribosomal RNA, 254 nt
Filed under: uncultured bacterium
Lineage: Bacteria
Description: partial 16S ribosomal RNA
Rfam family: Bacterial small subunit ribosomal RNA
Source: RNAcentral